UGUAAAACAAAAAAUAAGAGGUCCCGCCUGCCCACUGAUCUUGAAUUCAACGGCCGCGGUAUUUUGACCGUGCUAAGGUAGCGUAAUCACUUGUCUUUUAAAUGAAGACCCGUAUGAAAGGCUCAACGAGGGCUUAGCUGUCUCCUCUUUCCAGUCAAUGAAACUGAUCUCCCCGUGCAGAAGCGGGGAUAAUAACAUAAGACGAGAAGACCCUAUGGAGCUUUAGACACCGAAGCAGACUAUUUUUAAUAACCCUGAACAAGCACUAAAUCCACUAUUCAUCUGCUCCAGUCUUAGGUUGGGGCGACCUUGGGGAAAUAAAAAACCCCCAUGUGGAGAGGAGACCUACAAACCACACCCUCCCUAAAAACCAGAAAUACAAUUCUAAUUAACAGAAUCUCUGACCAAAAUUGACCCGGCCUUCAGGCCGAUUAACGAAACAAGUUACCCUAGGGAUAACAGCGCUAUCCCCUUUUAAAGUCCAUAUAGACAAGGGGGCUUACGACCUCGAUGUUGGAUCAGGACAUCCUAAUGGUGCAGCCGCUAUUAAGGGUUCGUUUGUUCAACGAUUAAAGU
This 576-nucleotide ribosomal RNA is filed under the name Apionichthys dumerili (longtail sole). Its description in RNAcentral is "partial 16S ribosomal RNA". It matches the Rfam family "Bacterial large subunit ribosomal RNA", at positions 1832 to 2594 of the family's 2925-position model. The record is from RNAcentral. Lineage: Eukaryota; Metazoa; Chordata; Actinopteri; Pleuronectiformes; Achiridae.